GUUGACAGUUGCCUCAUUUGCUGCUGAAGAAGAGGUCUUCGAUGCUGUGAAGAGUCAGUCAAGAUUGGUUCCAGAUUGUUAGGAUGUUAGUUGAAAAUAAAGCUGUCAUAGAUCAGCUCUUUCUCUGUUUUUAUCUUCUCAAUAUUUUUCGGAAUUCUGUUAUCAAACUCUUCUAUAAAAGAGUGAUUUAUCAAUAAAGAAAAUACUUCUAUUCACAACAUUUAUAUCUUUAUCUUAUUGCUGAGUUCUUGCCUGUUCUUAUACAAUUUGUUUCUGUCAUAAACUACAAAUUGGUAUCAGAGCACAUUGAUUUUAAAGGGACCAGCUUGUGAGAAAGAGAGCAACCUGUGAGAAACCCUUCUUCCACCAAAAAACCACAAAACACCAAAACCAAAACCUUUCAUCAUUCUUUCAAAUGGCAUCCAACACUUAUUCUCUUGCAACACCACCAGUAUUUACUGGUGUGAACUACCAAAUGUGGGCUGUGAGAAUGAAAACUUACUUACAAGCCUGCGAUUUAUGGGAUGCUGUUGAACAAGAACAUGAACCUCAGCCUCUUUCUGCAGAUCCAACCAUAGCCCAAAUCAGAAAUAAUCGUGAGGAGAGAUCAAGGAAGUUCAAAGCCAAAACUUGUCUCUAUGCUGCUGUUUCUGAAGCAAUAUUUCCAAGAAUAAUUGCUUUUGAUACAGGGAAACAAAUAUGGAAUUAUCUCAAGGAGGAGUUCCAUGGUAAUGAGAGGACAAUUCAAAUGCAGGUUUUGAAUUUGAGAAGGUAGUUCGAAAUGCAGAAGAUGAAGGACUCAGAAACUAUCAGAGAUUUUUCUGAUAGAUUACUCUCCAUAGUCAACAAAAUAAGACUAUUGGGAGAGGAGCUUUCUGAUCAAAGGGUUGUUGAAAAGAUCCUUGUGACUUUACCCGAGAGGUUUGAGUCAAAGAUAUCCUCAUUAGAAGAAGCCAAAGAUCUGUCAAAAAUAUCUUUGGGAGAAUUGUUAAAUGCCUUACAAGCUCAAGAACAAAGGAGAACUAUAAGGCAAGAAGAAUCCAUGGAAGGAGCUUUUCCAGCAAAGGUGCAAGUCAAAGAAAGUGACAAAGGGAAAAGGAAGAACAUCAAAUACAAGGGAGCAGGCAGUAGCAAUCGAAGAGUUGGAACCUUUCCCCCUUGUCAACACUGUAAGAAAACAAAUCACUCACAAAACUACUGUUGGUGGAGACCUGAUGUUAAAUGCAGGAAAUGCAAUCAGCUGGGACACAUGGAAAAAAUCUGCAAGAACAGAACAAAUCAACAACAUGAAGAGGCUCAAGUUGCUGAUCAACAACAGGAGGAACAAUUGUUUGUGGCCACCUGUUUUGUAAGCAAACAUGCAAGUGAUUGCUGGUUGAUAGACAGUGGUUGCACAAAUCACAUGACAAAUGAUGUGAAUUUGUUCAAACAUCUUGAUAAAUCAAGUGUCUCAAAAGUCAGAAUUGGUAAUGGCGAAUAUAUUCUUGUCAAAGGAAAAGGGACAGUGGCCAUCGAAGGGAAUUCAGGUAUUAAACUCAUUUCAGAUGUCCUUUUUGUACCUGAAAUCGAUCAAAACCUGUUGAGUGUUGGCCAACUUCUUGAAAAAGGAUACUCGGUUGUUUUCAAGAACAAGCACUGUUUAAUUUCUGAUCCUACUGGAUUAGAGAUUUUCACCAUAAAAAUGCAAGGGAAAAGCUUUUCUCUAGAUUGGAUGGAAGAGGAGACAGCAGCAGUAUCAAACACAACAAAUGAAGCUGACUUAUGGCAUAAGAGGAUGGGCCACUUCAAUCAAGCAGCUUUGGUUUAUAUGCAGAGAAGGAAGAUGGUGAGAGGGGUGCCCAGCCUAGAAGAAAAAAUCACGGUUUGUGUUUCUUGUCAAUAUGGCAAGCAACACAGACUUGGAUUUCCUCAAAACAAAGCUUGGAGAGCAAGUGAAAAACUUCAGCUUAUUCACACUGAUGUUGCAGGCCCUCAGAUGACAGAUUCGUUAAAUGGAAGCAGGUAUUAUGUUGCUUUCAUUGACGAUUAUACAAGAAUGUGCUGGGUGUAUUUUUUAAAAUCCAAAGCUGAAGUAGCAGGUGUUUUUUUGAGGUUUAAAAACUGGGUUGAAAAUCAAAGUGGUCAUAAAAUUCAGAUUGUGAGGUCUGAUAAUGGCACAGAAUAUACUUCAAACAAGUUUGCCCAGUUUUGUCAUGAUGCAGGGAUUGAACAUCAAUACACUACACCUUACACACCUCAGCAGAAUGGUGUGAGUGAGAGGAAGAACAGGACAAUCAUGGAGAUGGCAAGAUGCUUAUUAUUUGAGAAAGAUUUGCCAAAAAAAUUCUGGGCAGAAGCUGUGAACACUGCUGUGUUCUUGUUAAACAGGCUGCCAACAAGAGCAUUACAACACAAAACACCUUAUGAAGUUUGGCAUGGUUAUAAACCCUCACUUCAAAACUUAAAAGUGUUUGGAUGCUUAUGUUUCACUCAUAUACCUCAGGUGAAAAGAGAUAAGCUUGACAGGAAGGCUGAAGCUGGAAUUUUCGUUGGCUAUAGCAAUGUCACAAAAGGCUAUAGAGUUUAUCAACCUGCAACAGAAAAAAUCAUUAUCAGCAGAGACAUCAAAUUCGUUGAAGCUGAAAAAUGGAAUUUUGAAGACACAACAAGCAAUGCAAGUAAGGAGAUCAUGCAAGAUUUUGAUGAAGAUGUUGAUGACACACCAGUCAGAGGUACCAGACUUCUUGCAGACAUUUAUCAAAGCUUCAAUGUAGCUGUGCUUGAACCUGCAGAAUAUGAGGAGGCCAAAAAUGAUCCAAGAUGGGUCACAACAAUGAAAGAAGAGCUAAGCAUGAUUGAGAAGAAUCAAACAUGGGAAUUGGUGGAUAUGCCGACACACAAACAACCCAUUGGUGUAAAAUGGGUUUAUAGAACAAAAUUGAAUGCAGAUGGCACUAUCAACAAACACAAAGCUAGAAUUGUGGUCAAAGGCUAUGCACAAGUCUUUGGUGUGGAUUUUUCAGAAACAUAUGCCCCAGUAGCUCGUCUUGACACCAUCAGAAUGUUGCUAGCAAUUGCAGCUCACAAAGGUUGGAAAAUAUUUCAACUUGAUGUGAAGUCUGCAUUUUUGAAUGGUUACCUGCAGGAGGAGAUUUACGUGGAACAACCUAAAGGUUUCAUGGUAGAAGGAGAAGAAGACAAGGUUUACUUAUUGAAGAAGGCUUUAUAUGGACUGAAACAGGCUCCAAGAGCCUGGUAUAACAGGAUUGAUGAGCAUUUACUCAAACAUGGCUUCAACAAAAGUUUGAGUGAAUCGACCUUAUAUAUCAAGAGUUCAAACACUGGUCUUAUGGCUGUUUCACUUUAUGUGGAUGAUUUAUUUGUUACAGGUAACAAUUCAACCAUGAUAGACAUCUUCAAAGCUGAAAUGAUGGAAGUUUUUGAGAUGACAGACCUUGGUGAAAUGUCCUAUUUUCUUGGCAUGGAAGUGCAGCAAAAUCAGCUUGGGAUCUUUGUUGGCCAACAAAAGUAUGCCAAAGAGAUUCUGAAGAAAUUCAAAAUGGAAGACUGCAAAUCAAUGACCACGCCUAUGAAUUUGAAAGAGAAGUUCAGUAAAGAAGAUGGGGCAGACAAGGUGGAUGAAGCAAUUUACAGGAGCUUAAUUGGGUGUCUUAUGUACCUUACGGCAACAAGGCCAGACAUCAUGCAUGCAGUGAGCUUAUUAUCGAGGUUCAUGCAUUGUGCUAGUGAAAUACACUUCAAGGCUGCAAAAAGAGUGGUGAGAUACAUAAAAGGUACACUAAACUAUGGCAUUAAGUUUAGUUGUGCUGAAAAUUUCGAGCUACAAGGAUAUGCAGAUAGUGAUUGGGCUGGCAGCUGUGAUGAUAUGAAGAGCACGUCUGGAUAUUGUUUUAGUUUUGGAUCAGGAAUUUUCUCCUGGUGUUCCAAAAAACAAGAAGUUAUUGCUCAAUCAACGGCAGAAGCAGAGUAUGUUGCAGCUACUGCAGCUGCAAAUCAAGUCUUAUGGCUUAGAAAAAUCCUAGCAGAUCUGGACAUGGAGCAAAGGGAAGCUACUAAAGUUAAUGUUGACAAUCAAGCUGCAAUUGCAAUAUCUAACAAUCCAAUUUUCCAUGGGAAAACAAAGCAUUUCAAGCUCAAGUAUUAUUUUCUGAGAGAAGUUCAGAAAAAUGAAGAACUGCAACUGAUUUAUUGCAAGACAGAAGACCAACUUGCUGAUAUAUUAACCAAGCCAUUGCCAAAAGCAAGGUUUGAAACUUUGAGGAACAAGAUAGGAGUCUGCAGCAAAAGAUGCAAGGAGGAGUGUUGACAGUUGCCUCAUUUGCUGCUGAAGAAGAGGUCUUCGAUGCUGUGAAGAGUCAGUCAAGAUUGGUUCCAGAUUGUUAGGAUGUUAGUUGAAAAUAAAGCUGUCAUAGAUCAGCUCUUUCUCUGUUUUUAUCUUCUCAAUAUUUUUCGGAAUUCUGUUAUCAAACUCUUCUAUAAAAGAGUGAUUUAUCAAUAAAGAAAAUACUUCUAUUCACAA
This 4519-nucleotide long non-coding RNA is filed under the name Populus trichocarpa (black cottonwood). RNAcentral describes it as "long non-coding RNA (PTRI_LNC001091)". Lineage: Eukaryota; Viridiplantae; Streptophyta; Magnoliopsida; Malpighiales; Salicaceae. The record is from RNAcentral.